AAUCCAUGAUGUGGGCAAGCCUUUAACAACUCUUUGUAUCUUUCCCAAGCGUCUAAAAGGGACGCACCAUCAUGUUGAGUGAAUCUGGUAAUUUGGUUACGUAGGAC
This is a small nucleolar RNA of Lathyrus oleraceus (garden pea), 107 nucleotides long. The record is from RefSeq and is a predicted model, not a curated record. NCBI's taxonomy places the organism in Eukaryota, Viridiplantae, Streptophyta, Magnoliopsida, Fabales, Fabaceae.